Molecule: ribosomal RNA, 430 nt
Filed under: Pseudomonadota bacterium
Lineage: Bacteria; Pseudomonadati; Pseudomonadota
Description: Proteobacteria bacterium partial 16S ribosomal RNA
Rfam family: Bacterial small subunit ribosomal RNA
Source: RNAcentral
UGGGGAAUAUUGGACAAUGGGGGGAACCCUGAUCCAGCCAUGCCGCGUGUGUGAAGAAGGCCUUAUGGUUGUAAAGCACUUUAAGCGAGGAGGAGGGUACUGGUAUUAAUACUACCAGGUACUGGACGUUACUCGCAGAAUAAGCACCGGCUAACUCUGUUCCAGCAGCCGCGGUAAUACAGAGGGUGCGAGCGUUAAUCGGAUUUACUGGGCGUAAAGCGUGCGUAGGCGGCUAAUUGAGUCGGAUGUGAAAUCCCCGAGCUUAACUUGGGAAUUGCAUUCGAUACUGGUUAGCUAGAGUGUGGGAGAGGAUGGUAGAAUUCCAGGUGUAGCGGAGAAAUGCGUAGAGAUCUGGAGGAAUACCGAUGGCGAAGGCAGCCAUCUGGCCUAACACUGACGCUGAGGUACGAAAGCAUGGGGAGCAAACAGG